This 269-nucleotide ribosomal RNA is filed under the name uncultured bacterium. Its description in RNAcentral is "partial 16S ribosomal RNA". It matches the Rfam family "Bacterial small subunit ribosomal RNA", at positions 525 to 793 of the family's 1533-position model. The record is from RNAcentral.
ACGGAGGUGCGAGCGUUAAUCGGAAUUACUGGGCGUAAAGCGCAUGCAGGCGGCCUGUUAAGUCAGAUGUGAAAGCCCGGGGCUUAACCUCGGAAUUGCAUUUGAAACUGGCAGGCUAGAGUCUUGUAGAGGGGGGUAGGAAUUUCAGGUGUAGCGGUGAAAUGCGUAGAGAUCUGAAGGAAUACCAGUGGCGAAGGCGGCCCCCUGGACAAAGACUGACGCUCAGAUGCGAAAGCGUGGGGAGCAAACAGGAUUAGAUACCCUGGUAG